RNAcentral lists this ribosomal RNA (415 nucleotides) under uncultured prokaryote. RNAcentral describes it as "bacterial SSU rRNA". It matches the Rfam family "Bacterial small subunit ribosomal RNA", at positions 505 to 918 of the family's 1533-position model. The record is from RNAcentral.
GUGCCAGCCGCCGCGGUAAUACGUAGGUGGCAAGCGUUAUCCGGAUUUACUGGGCGUAAAGAGUGCGUAGGCGGUUCUUCAAGUCGGAUGUGAAAUCUCCCGGCUUAACCGGGAGGGGUCAUUCGAAACUGUUGGACUAGAGGACAGCAGGGGGAGGUGGAAUUCCCGGUGUAGUGGUGAAAUGCGUAGAUAUCGGGAGGAACACCAGUGGCGAAGGCGGCCUCCUGGGCUGUCUCUGACGCUGAGGCUCGAAAGUGUGGGGAGCGAACAGGAUUAGAUACCCUGGUAGUCCACACUGUAAACAAUGGACACUAGGUAUGGGGAGUAUCGACCCUUUCUGUGCCGAAGCUAACGCUUUAAGUGUCCCGCCUGGGGACUACGGCCGCAAGGCUAAAACUCAAAUGAAUUGACGGGG